CAGUAGCCGCGGUAAUACGUAGGGUGCAAGCGUUAAUCGGAAUUACUGGGCGUAAAGCGUGCGCAGGCGGUUAUAUAAGACAGAUGUGAAAUCCCCGGGCUCAACCUGGGAACUGCAUUUGUGACUGUAUAGCUAGAGUACGGCAGAGGGGGAUGGAAUUCCGCGUGUAGCAGUGAAAUGCGUAGAUAUGCGGAGGAACACCGAUGGCGAAGGCAAUCCCCUGGGCCUGUACUGACGCUCAUGCACGAAAGCGUGGGGAGCAAACAGGAUUAGAGACCCGCGUAGUCCCUGUCUCUUAUAA
RNAcentral lists this ribosomal RNA (301 nucleotides) under uncultured bacterium. Its description in RNAcentral is "partial 16S ribosomal RNA". It matches the Rfam family "Bacterial small subunit ribosomal RNA", at positions 509 to 809 of the family's 1533-position model. The record is from RNAcentral.